CACGUAGGGUGCAAGCGUUGUCCGGAAUUAUUGGGCGUAAAGAGCUCGUAGGCGGUUUGUCGCGUCUGCUGUGAAAACUCAGGGCUUAACCCUGAGCCUGCAGUGGGUACGGGCAGACUAGAGUGUGGUAGGGGAGAUCGGAAUUCCUGGUGUAGCGGUGGAAUGCGCAGAUAUCAGGAGGAACACCGGUGGCGAAGGCGGAUCUCUGGGCCAUAACUGACGCUGAGGAGCGAAAGCAUGGGGAGCGAACAGG
RNAcentral lists this ribosomal RNA (253 nucleotides) under uncultured bacterium. RNAcentral describes it as "partial 16S ribosomal RNA". It matches the Rfam family "Bacterial small subunit ribosomal RNA", at positions 524 to 776 of the family's 1533-position model. The record is from RNAcentral.